This 495-nucleotide ribosomal RNA is filed under the name [Candida] argentea. RNAcentral's name for it is "eukaryotic LSU rRNA". It matches the Rfam family "Eukaryotic large subunit ribosomal RNA", at positions 52 to 523 of the family's 3401-position model. Lineage: Eukaryota; Fungi; Ascomycota; Pichiomycetes; Serinales; Debaryomycetaceae. The record is from RNAcentral.
GGAGGAAAAGAAACCAACAGGGAUUGCCUCAGUAACGGCGAGUGAAGCGGCAAAAGCUCAAAUUUGAAAUCUGGUUCGCCCGAGUUGUAAUUUGAAGAGGUUGUUUUGGAAGCGGCUCUUGUCUAUGUUCCUUGGAACAGGACGUCACAGAGGGUGAGAAUCCCGUGCGAUGAGAUGCCCGCUUCUAUGUAAAACGUCCUCGACGAGUCGAGUUGUUUGGGAAUGCAGCUCUAAGUGGGUGGUAAAUUCCAUCUAAAGCUAAAUAUUGGCGAGAGACCGAUAGCGAACAAGUACAGUGAUGGAAAGAUGAAAAGAACUUUGAAAAGAGAGUGAAAAAGAAUGUGAAAUUGUUGAAAGGGAAGGACUUGAGAUCAGACUUGGAGGAUUUAUCCUUCUGGGCCAGCAUCAGCUCGAGGGGCGGGAGAAUGGCGCAGGAAAGUAGCUCAUUGAGUGUUAUAGCCUGCGCUGAUGCCGCCACUUUGGGCUGAGGACUGC